GACGAACGCUGGCGGCGUGCUUAACACAUGCAAGUCGAACGGUGAAGCCCCAGCUUGCUGGAGUGGAUCAGUGGCGAACGGGUGAGUAACACGUGAGCAACCUGCCCCUGACUCUGGAAUAAGCGCUGGAAACGGCGUCUAAUACUGGAUACGAGAAGGGUCCGCAUGGGCACUUUCUGGAAAGUUUGUCGGUUGGGGAUGGGCUCGCGGCCUAUCAGCUUGUUGGUGAGGUAAUGGCUCACCAAGGCGACGACGGGUAGCCGGCCUGAGAGGGCGACCGGCCACACUGGGACUGAGACACGGCCCAGACUCCUACGGGAGGCAGCAGUGGGGAAUAUUGCACAAUGGGCGAAAGCCUGAUGCAGCGACGCCGCGUGAGGGAUGACGGCCUUCGGGUUGUAAACCUCUUUCAGCAGGGAAGAAGCGAAAGUGACGGUACCUGCAGAAGAAGCACCGGCUAACUACGUG
RNAcentral lists this ribosomal RNA (468 nucleotides) under uncultured bacterium. RNAcentral describes it as "partial 16S ribosomal RNA". It matches the Rfam family "Bacterial small subunit ribosomal RNA", at positions 28 to 507 of the family's 1533-position model. The record is from RNAcentral.